UGCUGUUCCAAUGCCUGCGGGAGACGGGCGUGAGUUUCGCGGGCUCUGCACUCUACCGCGUCGGCGGUUUUGGGGUAUCGCCGUUUUUUAGGCGGUACCUCGAAACAGGGCAAAGGGGAGGGGUUGACUUUACUGGCAUUACUAAUUGUAAAAACGGGGCCCUUUUACGUCCGAAGGCAAAACCCUCAAAGCACCCCCGAGCGGCGUGUUUGAGUGGAUGCAGUACCAGCCCUGCCCAGCCCGGCGCUGUUCCUCCUACCUGUAGGCACACCUGUGCUCUAAGCGCAGGUGCGUCGUAGACUGACCACGCCCCUUCCAAGGUGACACGCCCCGGUGGCCACGCCCCGCACAGGUAGAUCGGAAAGAUGGCGGCCGGGGUAGCACGGAACACGAGAGGAUUGGGCACUCUCUCUGCGGCGCAGUGCUGACUCGACACACGCAUGUCAUGUAUCGUUCCUGUAAACCCUCUGCCAGCGCUUGGAGUCUCGGGACAGCAGAUCGGUUCACAAGCCAGCCGUGCCCCAAAUUCUGGUUUUUUACU
This is a long non-coding RNA of Polyodon spathula (Mississippi paddlefish), 541 nucleotides long. RefSeq lists it as uncharacterized. The transcript is spliced from 3 exons. NCBI's taxonomy places the organism in Eukaryota, Metazoa, Chordata, Actinopteri, Acipenseriformes, Polyodontidae. The record is from RefSeq and is a predicted model, not a curated record.